Molecule: ribosomal RNA, 429 nt
Filed under: Pseudomonadota bacterium
Lineage: Bacteria; Pseudomonadati; Pseudomonadota
Description: Proteobacteria bacterium partial 16S ribosomal RNA
Rfam family: Bacterial small subunit ribosomal RNA
Source: RNAcentral
UGGGGAAUAUUGGACAAUGGGCGAAAGCCUGAUCCAGCCAUGCCGCGUGUGUGAAAAAGGUCUUCGGAUUGUAAAGCACUUUAAGUUGGGAGGAAGGGCAGUAAGCGAAUACCUUGCUGUUUUGACGUUACCGACAGAAUAAGCACCGGCUAACUCUGUGCCAGCAGCCGCGGUAAUACAGAGGGUGCAAGCGUUAAUCGGAAUUACUGGGCGUAAAGCGCGCGUAGGUGGUUCGUUAAGUUGAAUGUGAAAGCCCCGGGCUCAACCGGGGAACUGCAUCCAAAACUGGCGAGCUAGAGUAGGGCAGAGGGUGGUGGAAUUUCCUGUGUAGCGGUGAAAUGCGUAGAUAUAGGAAGGAACACCAGUGGCGAAGGCGACCACCUGGGCUCAUACUGACACUGAGGUGCGAAAGCGUGGGGAGCAAACAGG